This is a transfer RNA of Felis catus (domestic cat), 85 nucleotides long. It matches the Rfam family "tRNA". Rfam says of the family: Transfer RNA (tRNA) molecules are approximately 80 nucleotides in length. The record is from Rfam. Lineage: Eukaryota; Metazoa; Chordata; Mammalia; Carnivora; Felidae.
ACCUGGGUGGCUCAGUCGGUGGAGCAUCUGACUUUGGCUCAGGUCAUGAUCUCACGGUUCGUGGGUUUGAGCCCCUUUUUGGGUG